RNAcentral lists this ribosomal RNA (451 nucleotides) under uncultured bacterium. RNAcentral's name for it is "bacterial SSU rRNA". It matches the Rfam family "Bacterial small subunit ribosomal RNA", at positions 89 to 572 of the family's 1533-position model. The record is from RNAcentral.
AGUAAAGUGGCGUACGGGUGAGUAACACGUGGAUCAUCUACCCUCUAGUGGGGAAUACCCCCGGGAAACUGGGGACAAUACCGCAUAAGCUCGAGAGAGGAAAGCAGCAAUGCGCUGGAGGAGGAGUCCGCGGUCGAUUAGCUAGUUGGUGAGGUAAUGGCUCACCAAGGCUGUGAUCGAUAGCCGGCCUGAGAGGGCACACGGCCACACUGGCACUGAAACACGGGCCAGACUCCUACGGGAGGCAGCAGUGGGGAAUCUUGCACAAUGGGGGAAACCCUGAUGCAGCGACGCCGCGUGAGCGAUGAAGCCCUUCGGGGUGUAAAGCUCUUUCGGCAGGGAAGAUUAUGACGGUACCUGCAGAAGCAGCUGCGGCUAACUACGUGCCAGCAGCCGCGGUAAUACGUAGGCAGCAAGCGUUGUUCGGAGUUACUGGGCGUAAAGGGUGCGU